AUUGAACGCUGGCGGCAUGCCUUACACAUGCAAGUCGAACGGCAGCACGGGAGCAAUCCUGGUGGCGAGUGGCGAACGGGUGAGUAAUAUAUCGGAACGUGCCCGGUCGUGGGGGAUAACGUAGCGAAAGCUACGCUAAUACCGCAUACGAUCUACGGAUGAAAGCAGGGGAUCGCAAGACCUCGCGCGAUUGGAGCGGCCGAUAUCAGAUUAGGUAGUUGGUGAGGUAAAGGCUCACCAAGCCGACGAUCUGUAGCUGGUCUGAGAGGACGACCAGCCACACUGGGACUGAGACACGGCCCAGACUCCUACGGGAGGCAGCAGUGGGAAUUUGGACAAUGGGCGCAAGCCUGAUCCAGCAAUGCCGCGUGCAGGAUGAAGGCCUUCGGGUUGUAAAC
This 398-nucleotide ribosomal RNA is filed under the name uncultured bacterium. Its description in RNAcentral is "bacterial SSU rRNA". It matches the Rfam family "Bacterial small subunit ribosomal RNA", at positions 30 to 430 of the family's 1533-position model. The record is from RNAcentral.